Molecule: ribosomal RNA, 438 nt
Filed under: uncultured Streptococcus sp.
Lineage: Bacteria; Bacillati; Bacillota; Bacilli; Lactobacillales; Streptococcaceae
Description: bacterial SSU rRNA
Rfam family: Bacterial small subunit ribosomal RNA
Source: RNAcentral
GACGAACGCUGGCGGCGUGCCUAAUACAUGCAAGUAGAACGCUGAAGAGAGGAGCUUGCUCUUCUUGGAUGAGUUGCGAACGGGUGAGUAACGCGUAGGUAACCUGCCUUGUAGCGGGGGAUAACUAUUGGAAACGAUAGCUAAUACCGCAUAACAAUAGGUGACACAUGUCAUUUAUUUGAAAGGGGCAAUUGCUCCACUACAAGAUGGACCUGCGUUGUAUUAGCUAGUAGGUGAGGUAACGGCUCACCUAGGCGACGAUACAUAGCCGACCUGAGAGGGUGAUCGGCCACACUGGGACUGAGACACGGCCCAGACUCCUACGGGAGGCAGCAGUAGGGAAUCUUCGGCAAUGGGGGCAACCCUGACUCAACCACGCACCGUGAAUGGAGAGAUUUUCGAGCUGAAAGCUCUGAAUUCCUCAAAAACUGCUGCGGA